RNAcentral lists this ribosomal RNA (484 nucleotides) under uncultured bacterium. Its description in RNAcentral is "bacterial SSU rRNA". It matches the Rfam family "Bacterial small subunit ribosomal RNA", at positions 30 to 507 of the family's 1533-position model. The record is from RNAcentral.
AUUGAACGCUGGCGGCAUGCUUUACACAUGCAAGUCGAACGGUAACAGGGAGCUUGCUCCGCUGACGAGUGGCGAACGGGUGAGUAAUGCAUCGGAACGUACCGUGUAAUGGGGGAUAACGUAGCGAAAGUUACGCUAAUACCGCAUACGCCCUGAGGGGGAAAGCGGGGGAUCGUAAGACCUCGCGUUAUACGAGCGGCCGAUGUCGGAUUAGCUAGUUGGUGGGGUAAAGGCCUACCAAGGCGACGAUCCGUAGCGGGUCUGAGAGGAUGAUCCGCCACACUGGGACUGAGACACGGCCCAGACUCCUACGGGAGGCAGCAGUGGGGAAUUUUGGACAAUGGGGGCAACCCUGAUCCAGCCAUGCCGCGUGAGUGAAGAAGGCCUUCGGGUUGUAAAGCUCUUUCAGACGGAAAGAAAUCGCACAGGUUAAUACCUUGUGUGGAUGACGGUACCGUAAGAAGAAGCACCGGCUAACUACGUG